Molecule: ribosomal RNA, 735 nt
Filed under: uncultured Fusobacterium sp.
Lineage: Bacteria; Fusobacteriati; Fusobacteriota; Fusobacteriia; Fusobacteriales; Fusobacteriaceae
Description: bacterial SSU rRNA
Rfam family: Bacterial small subunit ribosomal RNA
Source: RNAcentral
GAUGAACGCUGACAGAAUGCUUAACACAUGCAAGUCUACUUGAAUUUGGGUUUUUAACUUAGAUUUGGGUGGCGGACGGGUGAGUAACGCGUAAAGAACUUGCCUUACAGCUAGGGACAACAUUUAGAAAUGAAUGCUAAUACCUAAUAUUAUGAUAAUAGGGCAUCCUAUAAUUAUGAAAGCUAUAAGCGCUGUGAGAGAGCUUUGCGUCCCAUUAGCUAGUUGGAGAGGUAACGGCUCACCAAGGCGAUGAUGGGUAGCCGGCCUGAGAGGGUGAUCGGCCACAAGGGGACUGAGACACGGCCCUUACUCCUACGGGAGGCAGCAGUGGGGAAUAUUGGACAAUGGACCGAGAGUCUGAUCCAGCAAUUCUGUGUGCACGAUGAAGUUUUUCGGAAUGUAAAGUGCUUUCAGUUGGGAAGAAAAAAAUGACGGUACCAACAGAAGAAGUGACGGCUAAAUACGUGCCAGCAGCCGCGGUAAUACGUAUGUCACGAGCGUUAUCCGGAUUUAUUGGGCGUAAAGCGCGUCUAGGUGGUUAUAUAAGUCUGAUGUGAAAAUGCAGGGCUCAACUCUGUAUUGCGUUGGAAACUGUAUAACUAGAGUACUGGAGAGGUAAGCGGAACUACAAGUGUAGAGGUGAAAUUCGUAGAUAUUUGUAGGAAUGCCGAUGGGGAAGCCAGCUUACUGGACAGAUACUGACGCUGAAGCGCGAAAGCGUGGGUAGCAAACAGG